UCAAUAAGCGGAGGAAAAGAAACUAACAAGGAUUCCCCUAGUAACUGCGAGUGAAGCGGGAAAAGCUCAAAUUUAAAAUCUGGCGGUCUUUGGCCGUCCGAGUUGUAAUUUAGAGAAGCGUCUUCCGCGCCGGACCGUGCACAAGUCUCCUGGAAUGGAGCGUCAUAGAGGGUGAGAAUCCCGUCUUUGGCACGGAUGCCCGGUGCUUCUGUGAUGCGCUCUCGAAGAGUCGAGUUGUUUGGGAAUGCAGCUCAAAAUGGGUGGUGAACUCCAUCUAAAGCUAAAUAUUGGCGAGAGACCGAUAGCGAACAAGUACCGUGAGGGAAAGAUGAAAAGCACUUUGGAAAGAGAGUGAAACAGUACGUGAAAUUGUUGAAAGGGAAACGCUUGAAGUCAGUCGCGUCGACCGAGACUCAGCCUUGCCUUGGCUUGGUGUACUUCUCGGCCCGACGGGUCAGCGUCAAUUUUGCUCCUCGGAUAAUGGCAAGGGAAAGGUGGCACCUUCACGGGUGUGUUAUAGUCUCCUGUCGCAUGCGAGGGGUGGGAUUGAGGAACUCAGCGCGCACCUUGGUGUCGGGGCUUCUGCCCACGUCACGCGCUUAGGAUGCUGGCGUAAUGGCUUUAAACGACCCGUCUUGAAACAC
This 644-nucleotide ribosomal RNA is filed under the name Lactarius uvidus. RNAcentral's name for it is "LSU rRNA". It matches the Rfam family "Eukaryotic large subunit ribosomal RNA", at positions 43 to 662 of the family's 3401-position model. Lineage: Eukaryota; Fungi; Basidiomycota; Agaricomycetes; Russulales; Russulaceae. The record is from RNAcentral.